GACGAACGCUGGCGGCGUGCUUAACACAUGCAAGUCGAACGGAAAGGCCCUGCUUUUGUGGGGUGCUCGAGUGGCGAACGGGUGAGUAACACGUGAGUAACAUGCCCUUGACUUUGGGAUAACUUCAGGAAACUGGGGCUAAUACCGGAUAGGAGCUCCUGCUGCAUGGUGGGGGUUGGAAAGUUUCGGCGGUUGGGGAUGGACUCGCGGCUUAUCAGCUUGUUGGUGGGGUAGUGGCUUACCAAGGCUUUGACGGGUAGCCGGCCUGAGAGGGUGACCGGCCACAUUGGGACUGAGAUACGGCCCAGACUCCUACGGGAGGCAGCAGUGGGGAAUAUUGCACAAUGGGCGGAAGCCUGUUGCAGCAACGCCGCGUGCGGGAUGACGGCCUUCGGGUUGUAAACCGCUUUCGCCUGUGACGAAGCGUGAGUGACGGUAAUGGGUAAAGAAGCACCGGCUAACUACGUG
Molecule: ribosomal RNA, 468 nt
Filed under: uncultured bacterium
Lineage: Bacteria
Description: partial 16S ribosomal RNA
Rfam family: Bacterial small subunit ribosomal RNA
Source: RNAcentral